RNAcentral lists this ribosomal RNA (491 nucleotides) under uncultured bacterium. RNAcentral's name for it is "partial 16S ribosomal RNA". It matches the Rfam family "Bacterial small subunit ribosomal RNA", at positions 29 to 507 of the family's 1533-position model. The record is from RNAcentral.
GUGAACGCUGGCGGUAGGCCUAACACCUGCCAGUCGAACGGCAGCACAGUAAGAGCUUGCUCUUACGGGUGGCGAGUGGCGGACGGGUGAGGAAUACAUCGGAAUCUACUUUUUCGUGGGGGAUAACGUAGGGAAACUUACGCUAAUACCGCAUACGACCUACGGGUGAAAGCAGGGGAUCUUCGGACCUUGCGCGAUUGAAUGAGCCGAUGUCGGAUUAGCUAGUUGGCGGGGUAAAGGCCCACCAAGGCGACGAUCCGUAGCUGGUCUGAGAGGAUGAUCAGCCACACUGGAACUGAGACACGGUCCAGACUCCUACGGGAGGCAGCAGUGGGGAAUAUUGGACAAUGGGCGCAAGCCUGAUCCAGCCAUACCGCGUGGGUGAAGAAGGCCUUCGGGUUGUAAAGCCCUUUUGUUGGGAAAGAAAAGCAGCAGGUUAAUACCCCGCUGUUCUGACGGUGCCCAAAGAAUAAGCACCGGCUAACUUCGUG